UACGGGGGGGAGCAAGCGUUGUUCGGAUUUACUGGGCGUAAAGGGCGCGUAGGCGGCGCAACAAGUCACUUGUGAAAUCUUCAGGCUUAACCUGAAGCGGCCAAGUGAUACUGUCGUGCUAGAGUGCGGAAGGGGCAACUGGAAUUCUUGGUGUAGCGGUGAAAUGCGUAGAUAUCAAGAGGAACACCUGCGGCGAAGGCGGGUUGCUGGGCCGACACUGACGCUGAGGCGCGAAAGCUAGGGGAGCGAACGGG
Molecule: ribosomal RNA, 254 nt
Filed under: uncultured bacterium
Lineage: Bacteria
Description: partial 16S ribosomal RNA
Rfam family: Bacterial small subunit ribosomal RNA
Source: RNAcentral